Molecule: transfer RNA, 72 nt
Filed under: Capra hircus (goat)
Lineage: Eukaryota; Metazoa; Chordata; Mammalia; Artiodactyla; Bovidae
Also listed under: 1 other name
Rfam family: tRNA
About the family: Transfer RNA (tRNA) molecules are approximately 80 nucleotides in length. Their secondary structure includes four short double-helical elements and three loops (D, anti-codon, and T loops).
Source: Rfam by way of RNAcentral
UCCCAGGUGGCUCAGUGGUAAAGAAUCUGCCUGCCAAAGCAGGAUACCUAGGUUUGAUCCCUGGGUUGGGAA